Molecule: ribosomal RNA, 119 nt
Filed under: Clytia hemisphaerica
Lineage: Eukaryota; Metazoa; Cnidaria; Hydrozoa; Leptothecata; Clytiidae
Source: RNAcentral
AAAAAGAAACAUACUAUGGUAAAAGCACCUAACUUCAUAAGGUCAUGAAUGUUAAGCAUUGUCUGGUCAGGAUAGUGCUUGGAUGGGGGACUGCCUGGGUACUUCCGGUUUUGUGGAAU